RNAcentral lists this ribosomal RNA (612 nucleotides) under Wolbachia endosymbiont of Bemisia tabaci. RNAcentral describes it as "bacterial SSU rRNA". It matches the Rfam family "Bacterial small subunit ribosomal RNA", at positions 219 to 851 of the family's 1533-position model. The record is from RNAcentral. Lineage: Bacteria; Pseudomonadati; Pseudomonadota; Alphaproteobacteria; Rickettsiales; Anaplasmataceae.
UAUUAGAUGAGCCUAUAUUAGAUUAGCUAGUUGGUGGAGUAAUAGCCUACCAAGGCAAUGAUCUAUAGCUGAUCUGAGAGGAUGAUCAGCCACACUGGAACUGAGAUACGGUCCAGACUCCUACGGGAGGCAGCAGUGGGGAAUAUUGGACAAUGGGCGAAAGCCUGAUCCAGCCAUGCCGCAUGAGUGAAGAAGGCCUUUGGGUUGUAAAGCUCUUUUAGUGAGGAAGAUAAUGACGGUACUCACAGAAGAAGUCCUGGCUAACUCCGUGCCAGCAGCCGCGGUAAUACGGAGAGGGCUAGCGUUAUUCGGAAUUAUUGGGCGUAAAGGGCGCGUAGGCUGAUUAAUAAGUUAAAAGUGAAAUCCCGAGGCUUAACCUUGGAAUUGCUUUUAAAACUAUUAAUCUAGAGAUUGAAAGAGGAUAGAGGAAUUCCUGAUGUAGAGGUAAAAUUCGUAAAUAUUAGGAGGAACACCAGUGGCGAAGGCGUCUAUCUGGUUCAAAUCUGACGCUGAAGCGCGAAGGCGUGGGGAGCAAACAGGAUUAGAUACCCUGGUAGUCCACGCUGUAAACGAUGAAUGUUAAAUAUGGGAAGUUUACUUUCUUUUUCCCCG